UACGUAGGGGGCAAGCGUUGUCCGGAUUUAUUGGGCGUAAAGAGCGUGUAGGCGGCCAGAUAGGUCGGUUGUGAAAACUGGAGGCUUAACCUUCAGACGUCGACCGAAACCAUCUGGCUAGAGUCCGGAAGAGGAGAAUGGAAUUCCUGGUGUAGCGGUGAAAUGCGCAGAUAUCAGGAAGAACACCCGUGGCUAAGGCGGUUCUCUAGUACGGUACUGACGCUGAGACGCGAAAGCGUGGGGAGCAAACAGG
This 253-nucleotide ribosomal RNA is filed under the name uncultured bacterium. Its description in RNAcentral is "partial 16S ribosomal RNA". It matches the Rfam family "Bacterial small subunit ribosomal RNA", at positions 524 to 776 of the family's 1533-position model. The record is from RNAcentral.